Molecule: long non-coding RNA, 508 nt
Filed under: Callithrix jacchus (white-tufted-ear marmoset)
Lineage: Eukaryota; Metazoa; Chordata; Mammalia; Primates; Cebidae
Description: lncRNA (ENSCJAG00000086910.1)
Source: RNAcentral
GGGAUCAAGAGUUAGCUCUAGUUUAUAAACCUUUGCAUUUUCAUUGCCUCCUCACUAUUGGCUUUGGAUAGAGCAUGGGAUUCUUAUUUUGCUUAGUAGCCACCAUGAACUUUAUAUGGACUACACGAGGCAAGUCCUUAAUUCCACAGUCAUCAAGUUCAUCAAGGAUUUGAUGCUUAGGAGGGAUUCUUUUACCAUCAUGAGGUGCACAGCUGGAAGAGAAAACAUCUAACGAGCACUUGUUCAUUAGGACCAGAAGUCCUGUUCUCUUCUAUGGCAGAAUGUUGGAGAAUGCUUCCUUGAGAACAUUCUGGAGAGAUGUGGAAUGUUUAGGUUUCCUUUGCAGUGAAUGCUUAAGUUUCCUUAUCUUGCCAAUUCUACAGUGCCUUCUGGAGAACUCGCUGGCCAGAGAAGAUAAUCUUGAAGUGAAGAUACAGGAUAAUCAGAGAAACUGUUCCAGUCACAGCUGCCAGAAGGAGCAGAUGCACAAACCAUCGGCCAUCCCUGG